RNAcentral lists this ribosomal RNA (303 nucleotides) under uncultured bacterium. RNAcentral describes it as "partial 16S ribosomal RNA". It matches the Rfam family "Bacterial small subunit ribosomal RNA", at positions 507 to 807 of the family's 1533-position model. The record is from RNAcentral.
AGCAGUAGCCGCGGUAAAACGGAGGGGGCUAGCGUUGUUCGGAAUUACUGGGCGUAAAGCGUACGUAGGCGGCUUUGUAAGUUAGAGGUGAAAGCCUGGUGCUCAACACCAGAACUGCCUUUAAGACUGCAUCGCUUGAACGUCGGAGAGGUGAGUGGAAUUCCGAGUGUAGAGGUGAAAUUCGUAGAUAUUCGGAGGAACACCAGUGGCGAAGGCGGCUCACUGGACCAUUACUGACGCUGAGGUGCGAAAGCGUGGGGAGCAAACAGGAUUAGAUACCCGCGUAGUCCCUGUCUCUUAUAC